Molecule: ribosomal RNA, 460 nt
Filed under: uncultured bacterium
Lineage: Bacteria
Description: partial 16S ribosomal RNA
Rfam family: Bacterial small subunit ribosomal RNA
Source: RNAcentral
CCUACGGGUGGCAGCAGUGAGGAAUAUUGGUCAAUGGCCGGAAGGCUGAACCAGCCAUGCCGCGUGAAGGACAGUGCCCUAUGGGCGUUAAACUUCUUUUGUGCGGGAGCAAUAAUGGUCACGUGUGGCCAGACGAGAGUACCGUACGAAUAAGCAUCGGCUAACUCCGUGCCAGCAGCCGCGGGUAUACGGGGGAUGCAAGCGUUAACCGGAUUUAUUGGGGUUAAAGGGGGCGUAGGCUGUGAGGUAAGUCAGCGGUGAAAUGCCCCCGCUCAACGGGGUGAAGUGCCAUUGAUACUGCCUUGCUGGAGUGCGGAUGAGGUGGGAGGAAUGUGUGGUGUAGCGGUGAAAUGCUUAGAUAUCACACAGAACACCGAUUGCGAAGGCAUCUCACGAAUCCGCGAUUGACGCUGAUGCACGAAAGCGUGGGUAUCAAACAGGAUUAGAUACCCUUGUAGUC